UUUAAAAUUAAUUAAAAGCGACGGGCAAUAUGUAUAUAUUAUUUUAAAAUAUUAAAAUUUUAAAUCUAUAAAAUUUUAAUAUUAAAUCCAUUUUCAUUUAAAUAUUAAAAUUUAAAAUUCAAUUUAAAUUUAUUUAAUGUAUUUCAUUUUUAAACCUUAUAUUUUUAAUAUAUUAUGAUUUGAAAUAAAUUAAUAUUAAUAAAAAUAAAAUUUAUUAAUUUUUUAUUAUAAAAUUAAUUAAACAACAAUAUAUAAUUUAAUUAAUAUAAGUUUAUUUUAAUGUGUAUUAUCAAAUUAAUAAACAAAAUCCUCUAAUUUUAAAUAAUACUACCAAAUUAAUUAAUUUUCAUAAAAAAAAAUACUAAUUAAAAAAAAAUUAAAUUUUUAUAAUA
Molecule: ribosomal RNA, 392 nt
Filed under: Asphondylia diervillae
Lineage: Eukaryota; Metazoa; Arthropoda; Insecta; Diptera; Cecidomyiidae
Also listed under: 1 other name
Description: partial 12S ribosomal RNA
Source: RNAcentral